UACGUAGGGGGCAAGCGUUGUCCGGAUUUACUGGGUGUAAAGGGCGUGUAGCCGGAGAGACAAGUCAGAUGUGAAAUCCACAGGCUCAACCUGUGAACUGCAUUUGAAACUGUUUCCCUUGAGUAUCGGAGAGGUAACCGGAAUUCCUAGUGUAGCGGUGAAAUGCGUAGAUAUUAGGAAGAACACCAGUGGCGAAGGCGGGUUACUGGACGACAACUGACGGUGAGGCUCGAAAGUGUGGGUAUCAA
This 248-nucleotide ribosomal RNA is filed under the name uncultured Oscillospira sp. RNAcentral's name for it is "partial 16S ribosomal RNA". It matches the Rfam family "Bacterial small subunit ribosomal RNA", at positions 524 to 771 of the family's 1533-position model. The record is from RNAcentral. Lineage: Bacteria; Bacillati; Bacillota; Clostridia; Eubacteriales; Oscillospiraceae.